Molecule: ribosomal RNA, 256 nt
Filed under: uncultured bacterium
Lineage: Bacteria
Description: partial 16S ribosomal RNA
Rfam family: Bacterial small subunit ribosomal RNA
Source: RNAcentral
UACGGGGGGAGCAAGCGUUUGUUCGGAUUUACUGGGCGUAAAGGGCGCGUAGGCGGUCGUGACAAGUCACUUGUGAAAUCUCCGGGCUUAACUCGGAACGGUCAAGUGAUACUGUCGGACUAGAGUACAGAAGGGGCAACUGGAAUUCUCGGUGUAGCGGUGAAAUGCGUAGAUAUCUGGAGGAACACCGGUGGCGAAGGCGGCAUCCUGGACCGAGAUUGACGCUGAGGCGCGAAAGCCAGGGGAGCAAACGGGG